This is a long non-coding RNA of Gossypium arboreum, 343 nucleotides long. RefSeq lists it as uncharacterized. The transcript is spliced from 2 exons. The record is from RefSeq and is a predicted model, not a curated record. Lineage: Eukaryota; Viridiplantae; Streptophyta; Magnoliopsida; Malvales; Malvaceae.
UUCAUGUCUUUUGUAUUAAAGAAUUAAAUGGAUGAAAUAUGAAGUUUUAUUAAAAGAAAAAGGGGUGAAAAGAACAAAGUUUUGUCCAUCUUUGUUCAUCAUAGCUGAAAGUUAGAGAAGAGAAAGGAGAGGAGAAAGCUCUUGAGUAUUCGGUCAUUAGGAGGAGGAAAAUUGAAGGAAAUCCCCAACCAUAGUGGGCUUGGAGCUGUGAGGGAAUUCGGAGUGGCCACCCGUUCUGAAAGUUUGAUUUUCUUCUGGUGAACUGGACAUCCUUUUAUUUACGUUUGAAGUUUUGGGUUUUUAAAUGUAAUAAGACCGCUUAAUUUAUUUUUGAUGGUUUUAA